GGGCUGGUGGGGCGGUCGCGGGCGCCUCUCCAAGGGAGCUGAUUCAUUGUCUGGUAGGCCCUCUGCAGGGCCCAGCUGGCGGCCCAGUGGCAAAGCGCCGUUGGUCCUCCGUUUGAAAACCAUGAUCGCGGUUAGUGGAAAGAGUAGGCUGAGUCCUGAUUUUUAAACUAUACGGUGUUACAAUGUGCAUCUGCGUAAGCCUGAGAUCAUAUUGAAAUCCUGCCCAGAAUAUGGAGCUUCAAAGAAGACUAGAUCCAUGGGCCCCCGCGCCGAGCCGGCGAAAGAGAUCGUGGACGUCCAUCUUUACCCAGAAAGCGCCACAGUUCUACGGCGCCUGCGCAGACUACUUCCCAGGCCCCGGGCAGCGUCGGAAGAGGGCGUGAGCAUAAUUGGCUCCUGUAGGCGGAGCCUGGCUGGGUGGAAUUGGGCAAAUAAGUACAUUUAUUAUAGAUAAUGGAAUUCAUUUUCCUCACAGAGAGAAGAGAGUUACAAAUUAGAACAGGACAAAAGUAGAAUGAAUCGUAUAGUGUUGGAUUAGACUUGGAAUGACAGUAUAAAACUCAUGUUUUUUAAGAAAGGUAAAGAAACAGAAACUCAAAGAAGUAACCAGGUGGUGAUGAAGUUAUCUGGAAAUGUCAACCAAACCCAGAAGACUACACAAGACUACAGGAGAAGGCACUCUGGGGGAAGAAAAGGGUGCUAGCUCCUGCUCUGGCCAGAUUCCCUCUGAGCGACUUGUGGAGUCUUACUGGGGGAUUCAACUCUUCUUCACCUCAAUCAGCAGUAAAGCCUACACAGACACUGGGAGCAUGAACAGAUUCAAGUUUUCGCAUCAGUUUGUUCGAUGAAGGAUCACAACAUAGACAGUACGGCUUUCUUGCUUCCUCUUCGGAGGUUCCUUGUCUCCCACCUCCAGGACAGACAGGAGUCCUUGACAUCGUGGGAGAGGCAUUGUGGCAAUACUGCAUAGAAGGGAAACUGGGCUUCGGGCUGCGCCUCCUGAGAGUGGAUUGUCUGAGGUGCCAGCAGGACGUCCGUCAGGUUUCAGGUGGAGGAGAGAGAAAACGGCUUGUGACCUUGCAGGUUUCAAAAGAAGAGCAAACAAGAAGGGCAGAUAA
This 1118-nucleotide long non-coding RNA is filed under the name Homo sapiens (human). RNAcentral's name for it is "long non-coding RNA NONHSAT175166.1". Lineage: Eukaryota; Metazoa; Chordata; Mammalia; Primates; Hominidae. The record is from RNAcentral.